This 468-nucleotide ribosomal RNA is filed under the name uncultured bacterium. RNAcentral describes it as "partial 16S ribosomal RNA". It matches the Rfam family "Bacterial small subunit ribosomal RNA", at positions 28 to 507 of the family's 1533-position model. The record is from RNAcentral.
GACGAACGCUGGCGGCGUGCUUAACACAUGCAAGUCGAACGGAAAGGCCCUGCUUUUGUGGGGUGCUCGAGUGGCGAACGGGUGAGUAACACGUGAGUAACCUGCCCUUGACUUUGGGAUAACUUCAGGAAACUGGGGCUAAUACCGGAUAGGAGCUCCUGCUGCAUGGUGGGGGUUGGAAAGUUUCGGCGGUUGGGGAUGGACUCGCGGCUUAUCAGCUUGUUGGUGGGGUAGUGGCUUACCAAGGCUUUGACGGGUAGCCGGCCUGGGAGGGUGACCGGCCCCAUUGGGCCUGAGCUACGGCCCAGACUCCUACGGGAGGCAGCAGUGGGGAAUAUUGCACAAUGGGCGGAAGCCUGAUGCAGCAACGCCGCGUGCGGGAUGACGGCCUUCGGGUUGUAAACCGCUUUCGCCUGUGACGAAGCGUGAGUGACGGUAAUGGGUAAAGAAGCACCGGCUAACUACGUG